Molecule: ribosomal RNA, 880 nt
Filed under: uncultured bacterium
Lineage: Bacteria
Description: bacterial SSU rRNA
Rfam family: Bacterial small subunit ribosomal RNA
Source: RNAcentral
UAGCCUUUAGAAAUGAAGAUUAAUACCCCAUGGUAUGUAUUAGUGGCAUCACUGAUACAUUAAAGGUUACGGCAAGAGAUGAGCAUGCGUCCUAUUAGCUAGUUGGUAUGGUAACGGCAUACCAAGGCGACGAUAGGUAGGGGCCCUGAGAGGGGGAUCCCCCACACUGGUACUGAGACACGGACCAGACUCCUACGGGAGGCAGCAGUGAGGAAUAUUGGACAAUGGGGGCAACCCUGAUCCAGCCAUGCCGCGUGCAGGAAGACUGCCCUAUGGGUUGUAAACUGCUUUUAUACAGGAAGAAACACUCCCACGUGUGGGAGCUUGACGGUACUGUAAGAAUAAGCAUCGGCUAACUCCGUGCCAGCAGCCGCGGUAAUACGGAGGAUCCAAGCGUUAUCCGGAAUCAUUGGGUUUAAAGGGUCCGUAGCGGGCUUAUAAGUCAGUGGUGAAAGUUUGCGGCUCAACCGUAAAAUUGCCAUUGAUACUGUAGGUCUUGAAUCAUUGUGAAGUGGUUAGAAUGUGUAGUGUAGCGGUGAAAUGCAUAGAUAUUACACAGAAUACCGAUUGCGAAGCAGAUCACUAACAAUUGAUUGACGCUCAGGGACGAAAGCGUGGGUAGCGAACAGGAUUAGAUACCCCGGUAGUCCACGCCGUAAACGAUGGUUACUAGCUGUUUGGACUUCGGUCUGAGUGGCUAAGCGAAAGUGAUAAGUAACCCACCUGGGGAGUACGUUCGCAAGAAUGAAACUCAAAGGAAUUGACGGGGGCCCGCACAAGCGUGGAGCAUGUGGUUUAAUUCGAUGAUACGCGAGGAACCUUACCAGGGCUUAAAUGUAGUCUGACAGCUUUAGAGAUAGAGUUUUCUUCGGACAGAUUA